RNAcentral lists this transfer RNA (83 nucleotides) under Canis lupus familiaris (dog). It matches the Rfam family "tRNA". From Rfam's summary of the family: Transfer RNA (tRNA) molecules are approximately 80 nucleotides in length. Their secondary structure includes four short double-helical elements and three loops (D, anti-codon, and T loops). The record is from Rfam by way of RNAcentral. RNAcentral also lists the same sequence under 1 other name. Lineage: Eukaryota; Metazoa; Chordata; Mammalia; Carnivora; Canidae.
ACCUGAGUGGCUCAGUGGUUGAGCAUCUGCCUUCAGCUCAGGGUGUGAUCCUGAGGUCCUGGGAUCAAGUCCCACAUCAGGUU